Molecule: long non-coding RNA, 413 nt
Organism: Terrapene triunguis (Three-toed box turtle)
Lineage: Eukaryota; Metazoa; Chordata; Testudines; Emydidae
Exons: 4
Source: RefSeq, a predicted model, not a curated record
GGCUGGAGAAGGCCCUGGAGCUGGUCCGGCACCAGCUGGAUGAAUGCCAAGGUCCGGAGCUGGCGGAGGAGAAAAUCUGGUACCAGCAGAGGCAGCUGCAGGACGAGCUGGUGCAAGUCAGAGCCCGGCUCUGCGACCUGGCGCUGGACAGCGAGAGGGCUUGGGGAGAUUUCGCCGCCCUAGAAAAUGAGCUGCUGAUGCUGCGGGAAACGCUGGCUCAGAUCCGACAGCUUGGGCACCCCCAGGAGCAGGGGGCUGCCCAGCAGGAGCUGUGGAUGAUCGAUGACAUCAUUGCGGGGUUGGGAGCCAGCCCUGCCCCCUACCCCGCCCUGGACCCCAGGACAAGUCCAGGCUUCUCUCUGGCUGCCCCCCCCAUUCUGGAGCAUGGGGGGGGCUCAGCCCGGAGCCACCUG